AAAUUGAAGAGUUUGAUCAUGGCUCAGAUUGAACGCUGGCGGCAGGCCUAACACAUGCAAGUCGAACGGUAACAGGAAGAAGCUUGCUUCUUUGCUGACGAGUGGCGGACGGGUGAGUAAUGUCUGGGAAACUGCCUGAUGGAGGGGGAUAACUACUGGAAACGGUAGCUAAUACCGCAUAACGUCGCAAGACCAAAGUGGGGGACCUUCGGGCCUCAUGCCAUCAGAUGUGCCCAGAUGGGAUUAGCUAGUAGGUGGGGUAACGGCUCACCUAGGCGACGAUCCCUAGCUGGUCUGAGAGGAUGACC
This 308-nucleotide ribosomal RNA is filed under the name Xanthomonas citri pv. citri. RNAcentral describes it as "bacterial SSU rRNA". It matches the Rfam family "Bacterial small subunit ribosomal RNA", at positions 1 to 305 of the family's 1533-position model. The record is from RNAcentral. Lineage: Bacteria; Pseudomonadati; Pseudomonadota; Gammaproteobacteria; Lysobacterales; Lysobacteraceae.